AUUGAACGCUGGCGGCAGGCCUAACACAUGCAAGUCGAACGGUAACAGAAAGCAGCUUGCUGCUUUGCUGACGAGUGGCGGACGGGUGAGUAAUGUCUGGGAAACUGCCUGAUGGAGGGGGAUAACUACUGGAAACGGUAGCUAAUACCGCAUAACGUCGCAAGCCCAAAGAGGGGGACCUUCGGGCCUCUUGCCAUCGGAUGUGCCCAGAUGGGAUUGGCUAGUAGGUGGGGUAAAGGCUCACCUAGGCGACGAUCCCUAGCUGGUCUGAGUGGAUGACCAGCCACACUGGAACUGAGACGCGGUCCAGACUCCUACGGGAGGCAGCAGUGGGGAAUAGUGCACAAUGGGCGCAAGCCUGAUGCAGCCAUGCCGCGUGUAUGAAGAAGGCCUUCGGGUUGUAAAGUACGUUCAGCGGGGAGGAAGGGAGUAAAGUUAAUACCUUUGCUCAUUGACGUUACCCGCAGAAGAAGCACCGGCUAACUCCGUG
Molecule: ribosomal RNA, 490 nt
Filed under: uncultured bacterium
Lineage: Bacteria
Description: partial 16S ribosomal RNA
Rfam family: Bacterial small subunit ribosomal RNA
Source: RNAcentral